GACGAACGCUGGCGGCGUGCUUAACACAUGCAAGUCGAACGAAGAGCGAUGGAAGCUUGCUUCUAUCAAUCUUAGUGGCGAACGGGUGAGUAACGCGUAAUCAACCUGCCCUUCAGAGGGGGACAACAGUUGGAAACGACUGCUAAUACCGCAUACGAUCUAAUCUCGGCAUCGAGGAUAGAUGAAAGGUGGCCUCUACAUGUAAGCUAUCACUGAAGGAGGGGAUUGCGUCUGAUUAGCUAGUUGGAGGGGUAACGGCCCACCAAGGCGAUGAUCAGUAGCCGGGUUGAGGGGAGGAACGGCCACAUGGGGACUGAAACACGGCCCAGACUCUUACGGGAGGCAGCAGUGGGGAAUCUUCCGCAAGGGAGGAAAUUCUGACGGAGCAACGCCGGGUGAGUGAUGACGGCCUUCGGGUUGUAAAGCUUUUUUAACGGGGACAAAAGGCCUUCUUGCGAAUAGUGAAAAGGAUUGACGGUACCGGAAUAGAAAGCCACGGCUAACUACGU
This 509-nucleotide ribosomal RNA is filed under the name uncultured bacterium. Its description in RNAcentral is "partial 16S ribosomal RNA". It matches the Rfam family "Bacterial small subunit ribosomal RNA", at positions 28 to 506 of the family's 1533-position model. The record is from RNAcentral.